This 728-nucleotide ribosomal RNA is filed under the name uncultured Planctomycetota bacterium. RNAcentral describes it as "bacterial SSU rRNA". It matches the Rfam family "Bacterial small subunit ribosomal RNA", at positions 558 to 1278 of the family's 1533-position model. Lineage: Bacteria; Pseudomonadati; Planctomycetota. The record is from RNAcentral.
GCUUGAGCACGUAGUGGGGUUUGUAAGUCAGAUGUGAAAGCUUUCUGUUCAACGGAAGAAUUGCAUCUGAAACUACAAGUCUUGAGUGUAGGAGGGGAGAAUGGAACUUCUGGUGGAGCGGUGAAAUGCGUAGAUAUCAGAAGGAACGCCGGCGGCGAAAGCGAUUCUCUGGCCUAUUACUGACACUCAGUGUGCGAAAGCUAGGGGAGCAAACGGGAUUAGAUACCCCGGUAGUCCUAGCCGUAAACGAUGGGCACUAAGUAGAGGGGAUUACCGAUGUUCUCUCUGCCGUAGCUAACGCAUUAAGUGCCCCGCCUGGGGAGUACGGCCGCAAGGCUAAAACUCAAAAGAAUUGACGGGGGCUCGCACAAGCGGUGGAGCAUGUGGCUUAAUUCGAUGCAACGCGAAGAACCUUACCGGGGCUUGACAUGGUAGAAGUAGGAACCCGAAAGGGUAACGAACGGUAUCCAGUCCGUGACUAUCACAGGUGUUGCAUGGCUGUCGUCAGCUCGUGUCGUGAGACGUUGGGUUAAGUCCCCUAACGAGCGAAACCCUUGUUUUUAGUUACCAGCGGGUUAUGCCGGGUACUCUAGAAAGACUGCCGUCGUCAAGACGGAGGAAGGUGGGGAUGACGUCAAGUCAUCAUGGCCCUUAUGCCCCGGGCUGCACACGUGCUACAAUGGUCGGUACAAACGGAAGCGAAGCCGAGAGGUGAAGCGAAUCCAAGC